UCUCGAUUUACAUAUAUUAUGAUACGUGUGAUCAAUAGUUAAUGUAACCUUCAAAAAGGAUAAAAGUCCAAUAUGCGGAUUUUCGGGUGUGUUUAGGUAGGAAAAACAGAGAAUCCCCCAUGAAGGACAUUUCAAACCAAAAAAAAGUUAUGCUUUUUAUGACUGUUGUUAUUCAUACUAUAUUUUCCUUUAAAAAUGAAAUUGAUUUAGUGUGUCCUUAUUACAUAAAAAACAACUUUUUAAAGAAAAAGUUGUAACAUCGAUAAAUUGUACCGAUAUAGCCUCUUAAUAAAGGAUAAAGGUAUAAACAUCGCCGUAGCUCAAUCAGUAGAGCACAGAACUACUAAUAUAUGAUGACUUUGAAGUAAGGGUUCAAAUCUCGCUUAAUAUAUUUGCAUUUUUUGUGUUGUUAUAUUAAAUUUUAAUGUUUCUAUCAUAUUUUUUCGGAUGUUUGCUUAUUUCAUAGAGUCUUUCUGGUUCAUUUUUGACUAUAUAGUUUACUGGUAUAUCAUUCAACAUGUAUCAAAGAAAAAAAAAUGUAUCGCUUAUUGUGUGCAUUCCUAUGACUGUCCAUACUCUUGACGAACUUUCUAUUUAUGUGUUUACAUUUAUUACAUAUAUUCAAGGAACAACUGCCGUUAAACUGAUGUAGGUGCCUGUACAUAACCAAUAACACGAGAAAUAAUUCUAUAGCAAUGGAGCCUACAUGUUGUGAGUGUGAUAUACACAUAUUAACUUCAAAUAAGGCCAUUGUAUACAAGUUUCAAAACAACACAAACAAUUUUUCGAAACCUUUUUUGAACAUGGCAUUAUAUGUAAAAAUGCAGUCAACAACAAUUUUCUCGCCAAUUCACAAACUAUAUAGAUACUAGUAUUGAAUUUUUUACCACCGUCCCUACACCGGUACCUAAGUCAUCGAGAAAACACAACAGAUCAAAUCAAUUACACUACAAAUAGUGAUUGUAGGUAAAACAUCAAGAAGCUGUUGCAUCUUUAUCACAACAAAGGGCCGAUUUGUUAAAAUGACAGAAAAGACAAUAUAGCAUGUGCUAGUAACAUGGGGUGAUCUAUGACCAACUGAUGUAAGAUGUUCUCCGGUUAUAAUAUAUACAUGUAUUAUCUUAUCUUAUCUUAUAGACGAUAAAACAUUAAAAGACCAGGACAAAUACAGAUAUACAUAUAUUCAGAAUGAGAAAAUCACGAUUUAAAUUUGUUCAAUAUUAUUUGGCUCUUUGACAAGUUACGUGGUACAUUGUAUGGCACCUUGCAUAAAGGAUGUUUAUAAUAAAAUAGAAUCAAUAUUAAAAAAAUCAAUAGUCUUGGCCUUGUUAUUGUAGGAAUACCUGUUCAAGGUAUGGAAAUAGAUGAU
Molecule: long non-coding RNA, 1369 nt
Filed under: Mytilus galloprovincialis (Mediterranean mussel)
Lineage: Eukaryota; Metazoa; Mollusca; Bivalvia; Mytilida; Mytilidae
Source: RNAcentral